This 497-nucleotide ribosomal RNA is filed under the name uncultured bacterium. RNAcentral's name for it is "partial 16S ribosomal RNA". It matches the Rfam family "Bacterial small subunit ribosomal RNA", at positions 28 to 507 of the family's 1533-position model. The record is from RNAcentral.
GAUGAACGCUGGCGGCGUGCCUAAUACAUGCAAGUCGAGCGAACGGACGAGAAGCUUGCUUCUCUGACGUUAGCGGCGGACGGGUGAGUAACACGUGGAUAACCUACCUAUAAGACUGGGAUAACUUCGGGAAACCGUAGCUAAUACCGGAUAAUAUAUUGAACCGCAUGGUUCAAAAGUGAAAGACGGUCUUGCUGUCACUUAUAGAUGGAUCCGCGCUGCAUUAGCUAGUUGGUAAGGUAACGGCUUACCAAGGCAACGAUGCGUAGCCGACCUGAGAGGGUGAUCGGCCACACUGGAACUGAGACACGGUCCAGACUCCUACGGGAGGCAGCAGUAGGGAAUCUUCCGCAAUGGGCGAAAGCCUGACGGAGCAACGCCGCGUGAGUGAUGAAGGUCUUCGGAUCGUAAAACUCUGUUAUUAGGGAAGAACAUAUGUGUAAGUAACUAUGCACGUCUUGACGGUACCUAAUCAGAAAGCCACGGCUAACUACGUG